This 253-nucleotide ribosomal RNA is filed under the name uncultured bacterium. Its description in RNAcentral is "partial 16S ribosomal RNA". It matches the Rfam family "Bacterial small subunit ribosomal RNA", at positions 524 to 776 of the family's 1533-position model. The record is from RNAcentral.
UACAGAGGUGGCAAGCGUUGUUCGGAAUUGCUGGGCGUAAAGGGCGCGUAGGCGGUUCGGUAAGUCCUGUGUGAAAUCCCUCGGCUCAACUGAGGAACUGCACGGGAGACUGCCGGGCUUGAGUUCGGGAGAGGGAAGCGGAAUUCCGGGUGUAGCGGUGAAAUGCGUAGAUAUCCGGAGGAACACCGGUGGCGAAGGCGGCUUCCUGGACCGACACUGACGCUGAGGCGCGAAAGCUAGGGGAGCAAACAGG